GCAAGUCGAACGGCAGCGCGGGGAGCUUGCUCCCUGGCGGCGAGUGGCGAACGGGUGAGUAAUGCUUGGGAAUCUGCCCUGUAGUGGGGGACAACCCGGGGAAACUCGUGCUAAUACCGCAUACGUCCUACGGGAGAAAGUGGGGGAUCUUCGGACCUCACGCUACUGGAUGAGCCCAAGUCGGAUUAGCUUGUUGGUGGGGUAAAGGCCUACCAAGGCGACGAUCCGUAGCUGGUCUGAGAGGACGAUC
This 250-nucleotide ribosomal RNA is filed under the name uncultured bacterium. RNAcentral's name for it is "partial 16S ribosomal RNA". It matches the Rfam family "Bacterial small subunit ribosomal RNA", at positions 57 to 305 of the family's 1533-position model. The record is from RNAcentral.